UUUAACGCGAAGGACCUUACCAGGUCUUGACAUCGCUUCUGAUAAUCCUAGAGAUAGGACGUUCCCCUUCGGGGGACAGAGUGACAGGUGGUGCAUGGUUGUCGUCAGCUCGUGUCGUGAGAUGUUGGGUUAAGUCCCGCAACGAGCGCAACCCUUGAUCUUAGUUGCCAGCAUUCAGUUGGGCACUCUAAGGUGACUGCCGGUGACAAACCGGAGGAAGGUGGGGAUGACGUCAAAUCAUCAUGCCCCUUAUGACCUGGGCUACACACGUGCUACAAUGGAUGGUACAAAGGGCUGCAAGACCGCGAGGUUUAGCCAAUCCCAUAAAACCAUUCUCAGUUCGGAUUGUAGGCUGCAACUCGCCUACAUGAAGCUCGGAAUCGCUAGUAAUCGCGGAUUCAAGCAUUGCCCGCCGGUGAAUACGUUCCCGGGCCUUGUACACACCGAAAA
Molecule: ribosomal RNA, 450 nt
Filed under: Cytobacillus kochii
Lineage: Bacteria; Bacillati; Bacillota; Bacilli; Caryophanales; Bacillaceae
Description: bacterial SSU rRNA
Rfam family: Bacterial small subunit ribosomal RNA
Source: RNAcentral